This 240-nucleotide unclassified non-coding RNA is filed under the name soil metagenome. RNAcentral's name for it is "partial contains 5.8S ribosomal RNA, internal transcribed spacer 2, and large subunit ribosomal RNA". The record is from RNAcentral.
AACAAGGCGUACCUGCGGACCUGCGGAAGGAUCAUUACGAGAGUGUCACCACUCCCAACCCAUUGUUUACCUACCCGUCCACCGUGCUUCGGCAGGCAGCCCUGUGGGACAGAGCCUCGCCCCCUUUCGCGGGGGGUGCCUGCCGCUUGCCAACCAAAACUCUAGCUGUUUUAGUACCAUCUGAGUCUUCCACAAAUGAACAAAACUUUCAGCAACGGAUCUCAGAUCGGAAGAGCACAC